This 497-nucleotide ribosomal RNA is filed under the name uncultured bacterium. Its description in RNAcentral is "partial 16S ribosomal RNA". It matches the Rfam family "Bacterial small subunit ribosomal RNA", at positions 28 to 507 of the family's 1533-position model. The record is from RNAcentral.
GAUGAACGCUGGCGGCGUGCCUAAUACAUGCAAGUCGAGCGAACAGGCGAGGAGCUUGCUCCUCUGACGUUAGCGGCGGACGGGUGAGUAACACGUGGAUAACCUACCUAUAAGACUGGGAUAACUUCGGGAAACCGGAGCUAAUACCGGAUAAUAUAUUGAACCGCAUGGUUCAAUAGUGAAAGACGGUUUUGCUGUCACUUAUAGAUGGAUCCGCGCCGCUUUAGCUAGUUGGUAAGGUAACGGCUUACCAAGGCGACGAUGCGUAGCCGACCGGAGAGAGGGAUCGGCCACACUAGAACUGAAACACGGUCCAGACUACUACGGGAGGCAGCAGUAGGGAAUCUUCCGCAAUGGGCGGAAGCCUGACGGAGCAACGCCGCGUGAGUGAUGAAGGUCUUCGGAUCGUAAAGCUCUGUUAUUAGGGAAGAACAAAUGUGUAAGUAAAUAUGCACGUCUUGACGGUACCUAAUCAGAAAGCCACGGCUAACUACGUG